UAGGGAAUCUUCGGCAAUGGACGGAAGUCUGACCGAGCAACGCCGCGUGAGUGAAGAAGGUUUUCGGAUCGUAAAGCUCUGUUGUAAGAGAAGAACGAGUGUGAGAGUGGAAAGUUCACACUGUGACGGUAUCUUACCAGAAAGGGACGGCUAACUACGUGCCAGCAGCCGCGGUAAUACGUAGGCCCCGAGCGUUGUCCGGAUUUAUUGGGCGUAAAGCGAGCGCAGGCGGUUAGAUAAGUCUGAAGUUAAAGGCUGUGGCUUAACCAUAGUAGGCUUUGGAAACUGUUUAACUUGAGUGCAAGAGGGGAGAGUGGAAUUCCAUGUGUAGCGGUGAAAUGCGUAGAUAUAUGGAGGAACACCGGUGGCGAAAGCGGCUCUCUGGCUUGUAACUGACGCUGAGGCUCGAAAGCGUGGGGAGCAAACAGGAUUAGAUACCCUGGUAGUCCGCGCUGUAAACGAUGAGUGCAAGGUGUUAGACCCUUUCCGGGGUUUAGUGCCGUAGCUAACGCAUUAAGCACUCCGCCUGGGGAGUACGACCGCAAGGUU
RNAcentral lists this ribosomal RNA (549 nucleotides) under uncultured bacterium. Its description in RNAcentral is "bacterial SSU rRNA". It matches the Rfam family "Bacterial small subunit ribosomal RNA", at positions 355 to 895 of the family's 1533-position model. The record is from RNAcentral.